GGGGAAUUAGCUCAGAUGGUAGAGCGCUCGCUUAGCAUGCAAGAGGUGGUGGGAUCGAUGCCCACAUUCUCCA
Molecule: transfer RNA, 73 nt
Filed under: Ornithorhynchus anatinus (platypus)
Lineage: Eukaryota; Metazoa; Chordata; Mammalia; Monotremata; Ornithorhynchidae
Description: tRNA-Ala (AGC) (tRNA-Ala-AGC-16-1)
Rfam family: tRNA
About the family: Transfer RNA (tRNA) molecules are approximately 80 nucleotides in length. Their secondary structure includes four short double-helical elements and three loops (D, anti-codon, and T loops). Further hydrogen bonds mediate the characteristic L-shaped molecular structure. tRNAs have two regions of fundamental functional importance: the anti-codon, which is responsible for specific mRNA codon recognition, and the 3' end, to which the tRNAs corresponding amino acid is attached (by aminoacyl-tRNA synthetases). tRNAs cope with the degeneracy of the genetic code in two manners: having more than one tRNA (with a specific anti-codon) for a particular amino acid; and 'wobble' base-pairing, i.e. permitting non-standard base-pairing at the 3rd anti-codon position.
Source: RNAcentral